CCCCCCGCCCCGGCCUUAGCUUAGAAAUACUGGGGUGCUGCGCGUGCUGAUUUCCCAGCCCGGGUGUACGGCGCUCGGUGCACGGAGCCCGGCGCUCAACAGGCCCUGGAGGAAACAAAUGCCUCCUGCAGGCACCAGUGUGGCCUGCAAGUGACUCGGGCAAGAGGAGACCAUCGCAGGGAGGGCACAGAGCACUUGGGGGUGGGAAGCGCCAGCCCCCGGGCCAACACGCAGCUCAUCCGAGUGUGCUCCAGGACGCACCCCGCAUCCCCAGGGUCGUUUGGGGUGCUCCAGAGCCCGGAGGCGCAGCCUGCAAGCCAAGCGCGGGAGCCCAGACGCGGGCCGUGACGGGAGGGCCACACAGCAGCAGGUCCCGAACCCGGAGCCAAACCUGUGAUUAGCGGCCAGGCGGGCAAAGCCGGGGCCCCUCCCGAGGCUUGCAAAGCUUGUCCAGGUGCAGUUCCAGUAACAAAUCCACCUUUCUUCUCCCUUUGGGCUGAGUUGACUUCGGUACCUCGGGGCCUCCAGCGGCCUCAGAACCGCUGGACGAGAGAACACGUCAGGCGGACGGCCCUUCAUGGAUGGUGGAAAUAGCCGGCGGGUGUGUGCUGUGGGGAGGAGAACCCUCCCCGUUAACCUGCUUCGGUGCACGAGAGGCCCAAGCAGCCCCAGAGGCUGGAGUUGGGGCCUGGGCUUCACAUCCAUAAACUAGAUCACACGGAAACCUAAGCCAUCUCGCCAGAACAAAGUCAGACCAUUAAAGAAGAACCAGCAAGAGGCACUCUUUAGUUUGGAUACCAGCCUGACUGUGCACAGCUCCACGUGCAAAACAAUGAGUAACACGCCAAUUAACUGUUCAGUUAGCAGUUCCCGUGACUGAGCGGGUGGCUUUGAACCACCCAGCCUGGGAGAUCCUAGGGCGGUCCCUGCCCCAGGAAGCCCAGGGCCACGAGGACCCGCGUCCCCAAGCUCCUGUUUACGUCCCAGGCGACGCUCUGGGUUGACGGAAGGCCCGUGGAGAACGGGCGGCCUCACCUGGGCUCACGCGGGUCGACGGCCGAAGGCACGGCACGGUCAGAACGCAGCAAGCCCCGCGGGUGCAGAGACGGAAGCGUCCGGACAUCAGGGGUGCACCCCGGCAGGCCGCAGAGCUGCGGGUCUCGGGCACCGCGACCCAGGGCCUGACACCCAGGCGUCAGCUGCUGCCAGUCCGGGACUGGGCGCCCCGCCAACGCCCGUAGGACCCUCCGAAGAGGCACCAGAGGCGUCCGGGGCCCUCCCGAGAUCCGCUCCCUCCCAGGCAGGCGCAGAGCGGCGCCGGCCUCGG
RNAcentral lists this long non-coding RNA (1327 nucleotides) under Canis lupus familiaris (dog). RNAcentral's name for it is "lncRNA (ENSCAFG00000057549.1)". Lineage: Eukaryota; Metazoa; Chordata; Mammalia; Carnivora; Canidae. The record is from RNAcentral.